Molecule: long non-coding RNA, 329 nt
Filed under: Cairina moschata (Muscovy duck)
Lineage: Eukaryota; Metazoa; Chordata; Aves; Anseriformes; Anatidae
Description: domestica (muscovy Duck (domestic type)) lncRNA (ENSCMMG00000006546.1)
Source: RNAcentral
ACAAAUAGUGCAUGAUUUUCAUUUACAUAAGCUCCUUUUGGAGUGGAAAAUAAUAAAUAUCUUUUUUUUCUUUUUCUUUUUCUUUCCCACUCGCCUGUACAGAAUAUUGAAGCCACUGGAGUAAAUGAAGCCACAUACAACAACGUUCAGAACAGACCCUUUCUUUCCCACUCCACAGUACUUCUCAGUCCUCUUCCACUUGCUGGACAGGCAGAUGUGCUGUGAACCACUGAGAUAAACCAAUAUGUAUGAGGGGAAAAAAGGCAACCACUCACUUUUCUGCAAGAUCCAUCCAUGUUUCACAUCAUAGUGUGACUGCACAAACUGAC